AGAUAGGCCCAGGGGUUCACUGCCGCUCUGUCUGCAAACCUGAAAAUAGUAAGCAACUUGAACAUCCACCAAGAGGGGGCUGUUUCAACUGCCUCUCUGUCCCCGCAGGUGCUGGACAGACAGUGGCUCCCGGCACAGGCUUUGCUCUACUGUGGGCUCAGUGGUCUCUGCCCUGCACAGCAGUGACCAGUGCCUUGUCGUCCCCCUCACCAGAAUGAACACUCCCUUACUCUCGCUUCUGUCUCCACUGGGGCUUGGCACAGGAUCUGGCAUGCUAGAGUCACCAGAAAAGUAACAAGAGGCAGAGCAUGGUGGAGGCACCACAGGCGCCUCUGGGAGGAGGUCCCCAGGGCUCCCUGGCCGGGACAGGCACCAGCAGUCCUUACUUGCAGCUUCAAGGACAAGGGCUUCUGGUUCAAAAGCCGUUGAUACUGAAUCAGCCAGUAAUUUUCCUGCCUGGUUUCACUUUUGGCUUCUAACUCCGUCUGCCAGGAAUGAAGCAGGCAAUGUUAGUCACAAAAUGGUAAUAAAACCUGUAAUAACAAUGAUGGAUUACAGGCGUGAGCCACUGCACCCAGCCUGAAUGUGAUUCUUUUAUUCUGCCAUUCGAUAACUCUUCGUUGAGUACUGUUCUAGGUGCUGGGAAUACAGCAGUGAACAAACAAUGCUGAUAACAGCCACGGUGACAACAGGCGUAGCUGACAUGUUCACAGUGCCAUGUGCCAGACCAUGCUGUGCACCUAACGAUGCCAUCAUUAAUUCUCACAACUCCGGGAAGGAGAUUCUACCUCCCAGGUGAGGGAGCUGAGGUUCAGGGUGAUGAGUAACCUGCCCAGGGUGGGGCCAGGAAUUGGACCCAGGCCUGUCUUGCUCCAGAGCCCGUGCUCAGAACAACGGAGCUGUUCAGUGAGGGCUGGCAUGACAUGGGGAGUGGGAUCAACACAGGCGUUUCUCAAUCCCUGCUGGGCCUGACUGCCCUUUGCGGGCCCCUCCUGGACCUGGCCACGCCCACUGCUCCCUUCCGUCGUUGGCCCUCCCGGGCUGCAGCCCCUCUCUUCCAGCGCCCAGGAGCCGGAUGGGCUGUGUUCUGCUGGGGCGGUGCUUCCUCCUUUGGUGGUGACCCCCAAGGCCUACAAGGGCAGGGGCACCAGCCAUAGUACCUGGCUGCUAAGGCACAGCGCCAAGGCACCAUCUGCAAAGUAACCUGAUGCGUAGGAGAUGGCAGUAGGGCACCGUGAGGAACAGGCAGCUUCCUCUGAUGGGCACAGGCACCACUUGGCUUGUUCAGGGCUCCAGAAGCAGCUGGUCUCUCUCUUCUAAACCUGCACAGGACCCGGCCUAGGACGCAGCUCAGAGGGCAUCUGGUGCAUUCACGGGGACACAGGAACGACUCGGUCUUUUCCACCCCAGAUGGUGAGCCUGGCCUCUGUCCUCAUUGCUUGGGUGCCCUCUGGGUCUAGAGGAGACACUCUCAAGGGGGCCUCUGCCACGCUGAAAAUGUGCCAGUGUCAAACCCAUCAGGGGACAGGGACAGCUGGGCCACUCCUGCCAAAAGCUUAUCAAACGGCCUGCCCUGGACAUAGUGAGUCCUGUCUGGAGUGAAUACUCAUGGCUGUUCCCGAAUACUCGACUACAAAGGCAUUCGGAGAGCAUUGCCUAGAAAAGUUUAAAAACCAGAAGUAAUCCACAUACUCAACAAUAGGGGCCACGGACAGCCUUGAGAAAGGACGUCAAGGAAUAGUUUAAUGACUUGAAAAGAAUGUGCGGAAACAGGCUGCUCGAAAAGGGUAUGCAGCAUGCCACGUUUAAAAGGCGCAUACACGAACAGCUAUAAAGGUGCAUCACAAUGUUUGGAAAAUAUGCAUCAAAACCGCAGGAGAGGCUAGGCGCGGUGGCUCAUGCCUGUAAAACCAGCACUUUCGGAGGCCAAGGCAGACAGAUCGUUUGAGCCCGGGAGUUGGAGACCAGCCUGGGCAACAUAGCGAAACCCCAUCUCUACAAAAAAUAAAAAAAUUUGCCAGGCAUGGUGGCACAUGCCUGUAGUCCCAGCUACUCGGGAAGCUGAGGUGGGAGGAUCGCUUGAGCCCAGGAAGUCAAGGCUGCAGUGAGCUGAGAUUGCGCCACUGCACUCCAGCCUGGGCGACAGAGUGAGACCCUGUCUCAAACAAACAAAUAAAAAAUGGCAGGAGAUAACGCUUGGAAAUGCAAUUAUUUUCCUUUGUACUUUCCAGUUUUUCUUUGAUGAAUAACUCUUACUUGAAUAACAGGUGUUUCUAAAAAUGGCAAGUCUGUUAAAGAAAAGCAAAUGCCUGUGUGAUGCUGAGCACAGAAGCCAAACACAUACCAGGAUUUCCCGGAGCUCUUCCUCUCGCUGCUGCUUCUCUUUGAGCAGCUGCUGGAGCAGGGAGCUGAGGGCCCAGCGCUGCUCCGAGAUCAUCUCCUGCGAACAAGACCACACCCCGCACCACCGUGAGCUGGCGGCAGCGCAGGAGUCCCGCAGUGGCAGGAUGGAGAAGGGCCUGGCCUCCCGCUCACUCGGUUCUCUGCCCAAUGCCUCCAGGCUGCGUUGGGGGACAAAGCUAAGAGGCCCUUCUGCCCCCUUACCCUAAGCCCGCAUCUCUCUUCCUUGUGGGGUUAAGUCAGGCAUGGGAUCCUGGUGACUGAUGACAAUGGGAUGGUAAGAAACAUCA
Molecule: long non-coding RNA, 2690 nt
Filed under: Homo sapiens (human)
Lineage: Eukaryota; Metazoa; Chordata; Mammalia; Primates; Hominidae
Description: non-protein coding lnc-FAM129B-1:1
Rfam family: Metazoan signal recognition particle RNA (bases 2017-2164)
Source: RNAcentral